This 1094-nucleotide ribosomal RNA is filed under the name Aporcelaimellus sp. JH-2004. RNAcentral describes it as "LSU rRNA". It matches the Rfam family "Eukaryotic large subunit ribosomal RNA", at positions 38 to 917 of the family's 3401-position model. Lineage: Eukaryota; Metazoa; Nematoda; Enoplea; Dorylaimida; Aporcelaimidae. The record is from RNAcentral.
GCAUAUAAUUAGGCGGAGGAAAAGAAAUUAACGAAGAUUUCCUUAGUAACGGCGAGUGAAAAGGAAAUAGUUCAGCGCCGAAUCCCUUAGCCUAUGGUUAAGGGACCUGUGGCGUGAAGGAGAGCCUCUCUGUUGGGUUACGACUUCGGAAGAUCCCUCGAAUGGGGCUCCAAAGCAGGUGCGAGGCCUGUAACGAGGUGAUACCCAUCAGUUUGCGCCUCCGUAGAGUCGGGUUACUUGAGAGUGUAGCCCAAAGCGGAAGGUAAACCCCUUCUAAAACUAAAUAUUACCACGAGACCGAUAGCGAACAAGUACCGCGAGGGAAAGUUGAAAAGAACUUUGAAGAGAGAGUUCAAAAGGGCGUGAAACCGCUUAGAAGAAAACGGACGGAGCCGUCGGGAGCCUUCGGGAAUCAGUCUCGCGAUAGGCGAACGUGCGGCGAUUGCGGAACGCAAGUCCAAUCGUUGUGCGGCUAGUAGCUUUCGCUUGGCGCAUUUCUCGAAGGUAAGCACCGCGACCGAUACGAAAGGCCGACGAAGCGUUUGGAUUGAGGGCGAGUCCUCUCACGGGGACUCGUAACCAGUCUUUGCGUCGUCUAGUCGUCGGACCGCAGUAUGUAUCGAUAGCCAAAGUUAUAUUAUAUACGCCGGCCGUAAAGCUCGCUCGAGUAACGGAUAGUUGGUCAAUAGUGUUGGUACUUGCUCGCAGGUGCCGAAUCUAUUCGAUUCGGCUUUGAAGUUAUCGGCGACAUUUCGGCGUAUAGGCGUCGGCGGUGUCAGUGUCGGCCACCCAUCCGACCCGUCUUGAAACACGGACCAAGGAGUCUAACAUAUGCGCGAGCUAAUGGGUGGAAAACCCAAAAGCGUAAUAAAAGUAAACGCCGUUUCGGACGGCUAAGGUACGAUCCUAGUGUCCUUUGCGGCAUUAGGCGCAGUACUGUCCCGUCCCGACCGCAUGUCGGUAGGGCGGAGAUAGAGUGCAUACGUUGGGACCCGAAAGAUGGUGAACUAUGCCUGAGCAGAGCGAAGCCAGAGGAAACUCUGGUGGAGGUUCGUAGCGGUUCUGACGUGCAAAUCGAUCGUCAGACUUGGGUA